This 259-nucleotide ribosomal RNA is filed under the name uncultured Staphylococcus sp. RNAcentral's name for it is "partial 16S ribosomal RNA". It matches the Rfam family "Bacterial small subunit ribosomal RNA", at positions 524 to 782 of the family's 1533-position model. Lineage: Bacteria; Bacillati; Bacillota; Bacilli; Caryophanales; Staphylococcaceae. The record is from RNAcentral.
UACGUAGGUGGCAAGCGUUAUCCGGAAUUAUUGGGCGUAAAGCGCGCGUAGGCGGUUUUUUAAGUCUGAUGUGAAAGCCCACGGCUCAACCGUGGAGGGUCAUUGGAAACUGGAAAACUUGAGUGCAGAAGAGGAAAGUGGAAUUCCAUGUGUAGCGGUGAAAUGCGCAGAGAUAUGGAGGAGCACCAGUGGCGAAGGCGACUUUCUGGUCUGUAACUGACGCUGAUGUGCGAAAGCGUGGGGAUCAAACAGGAUUAGA